This 2286-nucleotide long non-coding RNA is filed under the name Pongo abelii (Sumatran orangutan). RNAcentral describes it as "lincRNA". The record is from RNAcentral. Lineage: Eukaryota; Metazoa; Chordata; Mammalia; Primates; Hominidae.
UUCUCAAAGGAUCUCUAUACGCAGUUAAUAGUAGUUGAAAAAUGAACUGUUUUUGAAUUUUUGAGUUAAACAGUAAAACUAGUUUCUUUGUGGUACUUCUCAGAGCCUACAAUCUGCUAAUGUGUGUAGUGAAUUUCUAUGAGGAUAAUGUGUGGACUUUCUCACAUUUUUAAAUGUAACCCCUCCUCCUUUUAUUUUUUGGCAGAGUAUCUUAUUGGAUUUUUAUUUCACAGAAUUUGGUCAAUGAUAUUUACAGGAUUAGAAAUAAGCAUUCUUGAAUUUUUUUGUUGAAAUUCUAUGAAAUAGCUCUUGGAUCUGGGCUUCUAAGAGUAUAGUUAAUGCUUCUAAAACUUUAAUAUGCCUGUACAUUUGCUGGGUAUCUUGUUAAUAUGCAGAAUUUGCUUCAGUUGGUCUCCAUAGGGGCAGUGAUUUUGCAUUUCUAACGUGUUCCCAGGUGAUACUGAUGCUACUGGUGUUUUAGCAUUCUUUGAGCAGUAAGGCUCCAGAUGUACUUAAGUGCUUUCCGAGGUGAAAAGUGUUAAAGAUAAUCUCUGCCACCUGGCCUGGAGGUAAGGUGUUUAGAGAGGCUUCACCUUAGGGCACUGGAAGUUGGAGCUGAGUAAGUAGUUAUACAAGCCAGAUGAUCUACUUGUAUAUUACUAAUAAUCUGUUUAUUUUUCAUUGUAUAUUUUUUCCUGGCUAUGAGAGAUACACAAACAUAUUUUCAGAAUAAAAUAGCAAAUACCUAUAUGCUUUGACACUUGCUGUGUGUGUCCAAAAUAUCCCAUGGCCUUUUGACAGGUCCUUGGUAGGAGAGUUUAGAUCUCUGUUCUGUAAGUGAUAAUAUUGAAUGGGAAAUACACAUGUGGAAUGCUUAGUUAGACCUCAUUUAACCCCUUGCCUGUCUCAACAUUCAUGUCCUCAGCUGAGGACAAAGACUUAACUGACUUUCUAUGUGCAAAUGUAUCAGUGAUUCAGAAGCGGUUUUAAUCGUUUAAGGCUGGGAUAACAAUUAACGUUUGCCUUUUGUGUUAACGCUAUACAUUUGUUCUUUAAUAUCUAAAGGGAUGUCUAUAGAAAGAUUCAAGGCUAUGGUCUGAGCUUGAUGAGAAAGAGUGACACAUUAGAUUAACGAUCUCUCUCCUGGGCAUGAGAAGGAAAAUAUCCUCACAGGAGCUGAGCUGCAUAUUUGACAUCCCUGAUAAAGCAUUAGGUUAUGCUGACACCACAUUGUCAACAGAUGAUCUUUGCACCUUCUGAUUUGCUUAGUAUCCAUUGUCAAACACUUAAAUAUGGGUUAAGGCUACUAUAAAAAUUAUUUACUUAAUUAUUUACUUAUGCCAUUUUUUUUUAGUACUAAAACUGCAUUUUAGGCUGUGUGCUCAGAGUAAUUGGGCCAAGAUUCCAGUGAAAUACCUGAAUGGUGCUAAAAAUAAAUUCAAUGAAAUUCCUUUAAGUCCUUUCUCAGUGGUUAGAUUGUUUACUCCUCAAAUUCCUUGCUAACAAAUUCUUCCUAAUAGAGGUCCUGUUGGAGUCAAUUAGUUAAGAUUUAUUUAUAAUUAGAAACUCCUAUUUGCAAGCAAUUGAAUCUUUCAAAGUCUUUCAGUAGGUUGUUUGUUUUCUGCAGUUUUGAUUACAAAUACUUCAUUUUUGUUACAAAGUUAAGCUUUAGUUUAAUUCUUGGUCAUAUCAAAAAUUUUAAAUUCAUUGAGUCUAAAUCAUAAGUUGAUUAUAUUAGAAUUGUGUAAUAAAGCAUUAACAAUCAUAACAGUUAAGAUGCUUCUUUUAUGUGUUAGUUCACUGGGGCAGAAGACAGCAUAAUACAGAUGCCCAGUGUAAAGAAGUUAGCAGAUUCAAAUUAUCCAGUGGUUCGCUCAACUAGAAAUUCUAAUUUUUAAAGAAUGAUGUAAAAUUUGCUGGGCAGUUGUGUGUACUCACGUGCAUAUGUUCUUGUGUUGUUGGUGUAUAUUGUUCUGCUUUGUUUUGUUGUUCUUCAUAUACAUUCAAAUAAGAGCUUUUCUGACUUGGUAGUAGUAGGUCAGGAUAAAGAGCUGGGAUGUGCUAUCCCCCUCUUGUGAGUUGUAUAUAAUUCGUUAGGCUUCUUUUGUGUCCACCUUUUUUUAAAUUUAGAUGGCUGGCUCUGACUGCUAUAACAAGGUAUGUAUCACAGCUAUGUAAUGUAAGAAUGCAAAAUCUACUAUAGUUGUACUAUAAAUUCAGCACCUGUUACUGUAUAAUUAAGAUACUGCAUUUGAAGACAAUAAAAAAGCUAAUUCAAAUAUGUGU